GUGGAGGUCCGAACCCACGAGCGUUGAAAAGCUCGGGGAUGACUUGUGGGUAGCGGUGAAAUUCCAAUCGAGCCCGGAGAUAGCUGGUUCUCCCCGAAAUAGCUUUAGGGCUAGCCUCAAGGUGAGAGAUACGGAGGUAGAGCACUGAAUGUCCUAGGGGGUAUUGCACCUACCGAAGACUAUCAAACUCCGAAUGCCGUCAUCUUAUACUUGGGAGUCAGACUGUGGGUGAUAAGAUUCAUAGUCGAAAGGGCAACAGCCCAGAUCGUCAGCUAAGGUCCCUAAAUGUAAGUUAAGUGGUAAAGGAUGUGGGAUUGCACAGACAACCAGGAUGUUGGCUUAGAAGCAGCCACUCAUUCAAAGAGUGCGUAAUAGCUCACUGGUCGAGUGAUCCUGCGCCGAAGAUUUCCGGGGCUAAAACUUACUACCGAAGCUACGGCAUCAGUAAUGAUGGGUAGGGGAGCUUCCCAUACGGGUUGAAGCAUGACCGUAAGGACAUGUGGACAGUAUGGGAGUGAGAAUGUUGGCAUGAGUAGCGAGAUGUGGGUGAGAAUCCCACAGGCCGUAAACCCAAGGUUUCCAGGGGAAGGUUCGUCCGCCCUGGGUUAGUCGGGACCUAAGCUGAGGCCGAAAGGCGUAGGUGAUGGACAACAGGUUGAUAUUCCUGUACUACCGAUAACCGUUUGAGAGAAGGGAUGACACAGUAGGAUAAGCUAAGCACACUGUUGGUUAUGUGUGCCCAAGCAUUGAGGCAGUCAAAGUAGGCAAAUCCGCUUUGAUAAUGCUGGGAUGUGAUGGGGAGCGAAAUUUAGUAGCGAAGUAGCUGAUUUCACACUGUCAAGAAAAGUCUCUAUCGAGGUUAAAGGUACCCGUACCGCAAACCGACACAGGUGGGUGAGGAGAGUAUCCUAAGGCCAGCGAGAGAACUGUUGUUAAGGAACUCGGCAAAAUGACCCCGUAACUUAGGGAUAAGGGGUGCCACCAUCAGGUGGCCGCAGAGAAUAGGCCCAAGCGACUGUUUACCAAAAACAUAGGUUUCUGCUAAGUCGCAAGACGAUGUAUAGGAGCUGACGCCUGCCCGGUGCUGGAAGGUUAAGGGGAUCUGUUAGAGCAAUCGAAGCAGUGAACUUAAGCCCCAGUAAACGGCGGCCGUAACUAUAACGGUCCUAAGGUAGCGAAAUUCCUUGUCGGGUAAGUUCCGACCCGCACGAAAGGCGUAACGAUUUGGGCACUGUCUCAACAACAGACUCGGUGAAAUUGUAAUUCCGGUGAAGAUGCCGGAUACCUGCGACAGGACGGAAAGACCCCAUGGAGCUUUACUGUAGCUUGACAUUGGGUCUUGGUACUACAUGUACAGGAUAGGUGGGAGGCUUUGAAACCAGGACGCCAGUUUUGGCGGAGCCAUCCUUGGGAUACCACCCUUGUAGUACUGGGACUCUAACCAUAGGCCAUGAAUCUGGUCUUGGGACACUGUCAGGUGGGCAGUUUGACUGGGGCGGUCGCCUCCCAAAAGGUAACGGAGGCGCUCAAAGGUUCUCUCAGUACGGUCGGAAAUCGUACGUAGAGUGUAAAGGCAAAAGAGAGCUUGAUUGCAAGACAUACAGGUCGAGCAAGGAUGAAAAUCGGACUUAGUGAUCCGGUGGUUCUGCGUGGAAGGGCCAUCGCUCAACGGAUAAAAGCUACCCUGGGGAUAACAGGCUUAUCUCCCCCAAGAGUCCACAUCGACGGGGAGGUUUGGCACCUCGAUGUCGGCUCAUCACAUCCUGGGGCUGUAGUAGGUCCCAAGGGUUGGGCUGUUCGCCCAUUAAAGUGGUACGCGAGCUGGGUUCAGAACGUCGUGAGACAGUUCGGUCCCUAUCCGUCGCAGGCGUAGGAAAUUUGAGAAGACCUGUCCUUAGUACGAGAGGACCGGGAUGGACGUACCUCUGGUGUACCAGUUGUCCUGCCAAGGGCAUGGCUGGGUAGCUAUGUACGGAAUGGAUAAGCGCUGAAAGCAUCUAAGCGCGAAGCCAACUUCAAGAUAAGAUUUCCCACCGCAAGGGUAAGACCCCAGAAAGACUAUCUGGUUGA
RNAcentral lists this ribosomal RNA (2070 nucleotides) under Clostridioides difficile. Its description in RNAcentral is "bacterial LSU rRNA". It matches the Rfam family "Bacterial large subunit ribosomal RNA", at positions 766 to 2856 of the family's 2925-position model. Lineage: Bacteria; Bacillati; Bacillota; Clostridia; Peptostreptococcales; Peptostreptococcaceae. The record is from RNAcentral.